Molecule: non-coding RNA, 413 nt
Organism: Pelobates cultripes (western spadefoot toad)
Lineage: Eukaryota; Metazoa; Chordata; Amphibia; Anura; Pelobatidae
Source: the annotation of a GenBank genome assembly
CAACAUCCCAUGAUGAAGAGUAUCUAGGUUGCGGUGGGCGUGCAAAUCUAAUGCCGCGCAGGAGUCGGCAUACGAGGAGAUGUUUACCUGCCGGGGCACCAUCCAACCCUUGGUGGCCUGCGGAAAUAGCCGAUCGGUACACAUUUAUCGUGCGAUAGGCUAGGCCAUGGUCAAACAGAGAAGUGAGAAAUCUCAAAACGUGACUUAUAGGUGCCGAUAAGGGAUCCAUGUGUUGUUCCAUGCACCAACCACUCCAUGAAUUCCAGGCAUGUAAGUAGGAUUUCCUUGUUCCCGGAGCCCAAGCUCCCGCCAGAAGGUCAAUAGUUGUUUGUGGAACGUCCGGGAUGAAUCCAAGUCCCCGGAGAGGAGCCAUGCCAGUAAUUGGAGGUGUCCCUGUAAUAGUAGGGGGUGCG